Molecule: long non-coding RNA, 1843 nt
Filed under: Sorghum bicolor (sorghum)
Lineage: Eukaryota; Viridiplantae; Streptophyta; Magnoliopsida; Poales; Poaceae
Description: long non-coding RNA (SBIC_LNC003993)
Source: RNAcentral
UCUUAAUAUGAGUAUAUAAACAUACUCAAACCGAUAAACAAGUAUGAAUACAUACAAAAUGUAGUUUAUUGAAGAUGAGAGUAACUACACGUACGUGUACAAAGAAUUAAUUCCUAUAUAUAUAUAUCGCAUGCAAGCCCGAGACAUACAUCCCUGGCUGUCAGACCAAAAAAAUCAGAAGCAUCAGGUCAACUCUGAUGUGGUGCACAAAGGGUCAGCUCUACGAGUCAAUAAUUCGGGGCAUGUUCCUGCUCCUCGAUCGCAGACGGUAGAGUAGAUCUGUAGAUGUAGAUUCCUCGCUCCAUGCAUGUGUACAUGCACUCCAGCAGUAAGAGAGCACCUUUUGACACGAGCGUGCUUAUUAGAACCAUAGUUGUUAAAAUCUACUGUUUUGUUAUUAUACUCUCUCCAUCCUCUUUUAUAAGAUACACACCCAUAUUAAUAGUCAAUUUUUAAAAUCUUUGGCUAAUACUUUGACUGACAAAUUUUAAUUAGUAUAUAACAUGACCUUGAUGCGAUCAGAUUUUAAAUUAAAUGUGCUAUCCAAUAUUAUAAUUUUAUGGAUGUAAACAAUAUGAAAUAAAAAAAUAAUUAGUUACUCCAUGCAUCCAUCCAAAAUAAAUGCACAUCCCACUUUUUAAUAAGUCAAACUUUUUUAAGUUUCACUAACAAUAUAGAAUAUAGUAUUAAUAUAUGUAUAUCCAACUAUAAGGUUAUUACGAAACUAUGUUUCAUGCUUAAUCUAAUGGUAUUUAUUAUACUCAUCAUAAAUAUUAGUACACUUUUGUAUAAAUUUAUUAACUUUGUCAUAUCAAUCUGAGAUUUAUAAAAGAGAAAAGGAAGGAGUACGCCUUUGUGAUCUUAACUAAGAAAUUUCAUUCUACGAUUUUUGUCUGAGAAAGUCUAUGUUACUCUGAUUGUUAUGUUUACGAUUUCAUAGUUACGGAUCUUACUCGAAGACCACCGAACGGUUUUGACAAACUUUCGUGUAAUAUAAGCUAGUCGACUGACUUGGGAUGCAGCUCAACUUUGUUUGUGCCGUCGUGCUCAUGACUGCCUCGUCGUGUCAUUUUAAUUAGCCACCACUACGUCUAAAAGACCCGAUCAAACGAGUUAAUUAAUCUAACAAGCCAGUUGCACUCGUCCUCCUCUUCUCUUCUCGCACAGUCGCACACCAAUCAGGGCAACCAACCAAACCAGCAGCUCGGCCGUACGCCCGGGCCCGGCGACCGGCUCCGUUCCGCGCGGGGAUUUAAACGCGGGAGUGAGCACGCAGCAGGCGCAGGCAGCAAGCAACGAACGCGCGCGCGCCGCCGGAACCAUCUCGAUCGCGGGCAAGGGCGACGACGGUGCCGUGGAUUCCGCUUGAUCGUUCGGCUUAUUCGUCGUCGUCAUGGGUGGUGGCCGGCUGCCGGUGGCGUGCUCCGCCGUCCUCGUCCUCCUCGCCGCGGCGGGAUGCGUGUGGGCGCCGCGGGCGGCGGCGGCGCGGGAGUACGCGGCCAUCUUCAACUUCGGGGACUCCCUGGUGGACGCCGGCAACCUGGUGGUGGACGGCAUCCCGGACUACCUCGCCACGGCGCGCCUGCCCUACGGCAUGAACUACUUCGGCUACCCCACCGGCCGCUGCUCCGACGGCCGCCUCGUCGUUGACUUCAUCGGUACGCACGCAUGCAUGCAUGGAUACACAAACAAAUUAAAUACAUGUUGCAUUACACACUCACCAGGCUGCCGCCGGCCCGGCCGUCCACGAUGGUCGAGCAGCGCAGGAGCUGGGCGUGCCGCUGCUGCCGCCAUCCAAGGCGAAGAACGCGACGUUCCACCGUGGCGCCAACUUCGCCAUCAC